GCCCUGCCUGGCCUCACCCGCGGUGAGACACGCCGUCCCGCGUCACCCGCGCCCAGCUCGAGUACGAAGGCGUGGAGCAAGAUGGCGGGGCCGCCGUGGCCGUGACGGCGGGUUGUGGUGGUCGAUCUCGGCGAGGCGGCGACGACUGCGGCUCCAUGGCGAGCGCGAGGCGGGAGCGGCGGAGGUUGGUGCGCCACGGAGGAAGUUGAAGAGCGAGGGCGUGAGGGGCUGGCCAUCCUCGCGAAGCCGGUGGAAAGGGGGCUUCGAUCCUGUCUGAUGCAAUUAUUCUUGGGGUUCCUAUAUAAGAGAUAUAUCUACGGUGCUCAGCUCAGCCUACCUUCGAUUCGUACGGCGUCGCCCAUGGAUCCUCAUGUCAGUUUAGGAAUUUCCCCCAUCAAUUUGGUUUCCUGCUUUACGGUCAUGCAAUGCCAAUUUAGGAUCAUGUGAAAAUAAAUUCAAUCUGUAUCUGGUGCGAGGCCGUCCAAGUCAGCCCGUGCCUCUGCAUUUUCUGUCCAUGUUUUUGGCUAAUUUUAGAAGUCCCCGCCAUGAAUGAAAAGAAAACAUGGACAGGAUAGUCCAUUUUCAUCUUGCUAGUUUUGCAUAAACAAGACACUACGGAGGAUUGAGAGAUGGUGAAAUUGAACAAAAUAAAUAAAUUAGGAGGUGUCUACUCAUAAUAAUACUUAGCCAUGCUAGUUUGUCAUCUUUAUUUGCAUCACUUGUUCAUCAUGUAUUAUAUCUUUAUUAAGCAACUUUUUUAUGUUUAGAACUCUUUAUGGCUGAAUCUGGUUAGGCACAUUUUCAGUUCAGUUUUGCCGUAUAGUUAUCUUCUGAUGGCUGCAUGCAGCUUUUCACCCUUCAGUAAGGAGUCCUUUAUUUGUUGUAGAUCCUUGUCGCCCAUGAGUGAUGGACGCUGUAUAGUUAUGCAGUGCUGCUGGUGUGAAGGUUAUUACCCUUUAUGGUUUAUUUUUCUUUGAUCAUAUCUUCUUUCCAUCUAUAUCUACUUCAAAUAUUCUUUCCAUGGAAUCUCAACCGAUUGGGUUUGUAAUAGGAGGUUUGGAUCAUGCAGUUUGCAGAUAUUCAGUUAUAAAAUAUUUGUGGUUCAUCAGUUCCUUUUGUGCAUGUUGUCAAGAAUGUGUCAUAUGAGCCAAGAUUCAAACGCUUCUGGAUGUGAAUUUGACAAAACGGAUCAUCUUAGUAGGAUGAGUGUCCUGAAGAAUCGGAAGAUGCUGCAAAACAUGAUGAUGUGAUACUGCCAUGCUAUUUCUACUGGUCUCUCUGCUAGUGCCUUAUCGCUCGUUCACCAAUCUCCAUCCUCACCGUGGUCUCUGUACUCAACAAGGGUGAACUCUACAAGUUCUAGUAGGCUCCUCGGUGACUCCUCACAGGAGAGCUUUUGGCCUGAUCUGAUGGAGCUGAGAGGUCAAAGGAAGAAGUCAAACCUGAAGAAGUGCAGGGAGGAAAUUACAGCUGCGUGUGUCCGGCUGGUUCAGGGGAUGUGCAGGGCGGCCGUAGCCAUGCGGGUGUCGAGGCAGGCGAUCUCGCGGAUGGAUGCCAUGCUGCGAGGGUAGGUUCCUGGGCGCCCGCUACGUUGAUGACGGAUUCCACGCUGCGAGCGGCAACAAUCCGCGACAAUCGGCGAUGGCGAUCGUGCAGGGAGGCGACGGUGUUGGUGGGCGGCAUCUGGUGCGGUGGUGACUCAAGGCAGACAAACGUCGAGGUCAAGGGCGAGGGAGCAGAUUUGAUUGAGUUUCCUUAGUUUGCGAUUUGAUUGCGUGAUUGUAGGGAAACACAGGAGGGAGCAGAUUUGGUUGUGUUUCCUUAGUUUGCGAUCUGAUUGCGUGAUUGCAGGGAAACAUGGGAUUGGUUGUUGGAAUACUCCUCUGGUGGUGGAGUACGGUCAGUCAUUAGAAAUUGCUAAGUACACACCAUCCCGCUAUUAGAUAAAUGAUGGCCGUUAGAUUGAAA
Molecule: long non-coding RNA, 1968 nt
Organism: Triticum dicoccoides
Lineage: Eukaryota; Viridiplantae; Streptophyta; Magnoliopsida; Poales; Poaceae
Exons: 3
Source: RefSeq, a predicted model, not a curated record